Non-coding RNA from Prunus avium (sweet cherry), 448 nucleotides. NCBI's taxonomy places the organism in Eukaryota, Viridiplantae, Streptophyta, Magnoliopsida, Rosales, Rosaceae. The record is from RefSeq and is a predicted model, not a curated record.
ACACGGAUAGAAGACCCAUCUCCCACCUGCCAUUUAGUACCUCUAGCAAGGACCUGCUUUGCUGCAAAGAUGCUACGCCAACAAUACGAGGAUAUCUUACCCACAGAAGCAUCCCAAAAAUCCGAAUUAGCAAAGUAUUUUGCUCGGAAAAGACGAGCAACCAAUAAGUUACAACAAUUUUUAAAUCCAAUUGGAUAUCUGGAACAUCGGUCGUUGUUGUUGUGCACUUGUGCUCCAUAUUCUGAUUCUGAAUUUCAGAAUUUGAUUCAUAUAUUCAAACUGGUCAUGAGAAAUUAGAAUAUUGUGAAAUGGGCUUCGGUUUUCUCUUCUUGUAGCUAAAAGCACGUUAUGAUUUUCUUUUGUUUUUACCACUUUUUUUCUUCUGAAUGUUUAUUUUAGGGUAUGCUGUAGUUCAAAUGUCACUGCAAUAUAUACUCUUUUGCAUUUA